GAGGGUAUAGCUCUGUGAUAGAGUGCAUGCUUAGCAUGCAUGAGGUCCUGGGUUCCAUCUCCAGUACCUCCA
This is a transfer RNA of Camelus ferus (Wild Bactrian camel), 72 nucleotides long. It matches the Rfam family "tRNA". Rfam says of the family: Transfer RNA (tRNA) molecules are approximately 80 nucleotides in length. Their secondary structure includes four short double-helical elements and three loops (D, anti-codon, and T loops). The record is from Rfam. NCBI's taxonomy places the organism in Eukaryota, Metazoa, Chordata, Mammalia, Artiodactyla, Camelidae.